UUUUUUUGUUUUUGUUUUUUUUUGGGGGGGGUUGUUUUUUUUUAACUUUAGCAUUUCUUUUUUUUUUGUAUUUUUUUAUUGGAGUUCAAUUAACCAACAUAUAGUAUAACACCCAGUGCUCAUCCUGUCAAGUGCCCUCCUCAGUGCCCAUUAUAGUCAACAGUAUUGUUUUAUUUUUUUAAUUAACAAAUAUUGUUGACUAUAACAAAAAUUCAGAUAAAUAUCUUUUGGUUUAGUAUAUAAAAUGUGGAUAAAUGAUACUUCUCCAAAUCUUAUGCCUAUGGGUUCUCUUCCCCAGAGUGCCAGAAAUUAUAAAAUCUCCAGUCAGCCUCACCUACAUGGAAAUGUUUGUGAACACCAACCUUCAACUUCUAGUUCAAGAUGACUCACGAGGGUAUUAUGCUGAGUGAAAUAAGUCAAUCGGAGAAGGACAAACAUUAUAUGGUCUCAUUCAUUUGGGGAAUAUAAAUAAUAGUGAAAGGGAAUAGAAGGGACGGGAGAAGAAAUGGGUAGGAAAUAUCAGAAAGGGAGACAGAACAUGAAGACUCCUAACUCUGGGAAACGAACUAGGGGUGGUGGAAGGGGAGGAGGGCACUGAGGGGGGCACUGGACGGGAUAAGCACUGGGUGUUAUUCUGUAUGUUGGCAAAUUGAACACCAAUAAAAAAUAAAUUUAUUAUUAAUAAAAAAAGAUGACUCACGACCCUGAACUCCAAUUUCUCCGCUCUCUUAGAUGUGUUUAUUCGACUCAGUUGUGUGCACAAAGUUCUGGCACAAGCAAGAACAAAAUUAGACGAGUGGUAUUUAGAUAUACAUCAAAAUUAUAGCUUUAAAUUUUCAACUGCCCCAAUCCACCAGGCCAGAAUUCUCAGCCUUUUCCAUGCCUCUACAAGGGUCAGUCAAUAUUUACAAGCAUUUGACUACUUUUAUCAAAGAAAGAAGUCCUUGAAAUUUGAAUGUAUAGAAAUGUCCAUAUAUUUAAUACUUUUUAAUCAGGUUCCCUUAGAACUUCAUUUUGGAAGUAUAGUUAAGUCCCUUAUACUGGGAAUCUCUUUUCUUUCCCCUCAGUUUAUCUUCUUCUCUUCUGUUAUCAGCCUCUCUGCUCAAAUGUUCUUAGAAUAAUUUGGGGGAAGAAAUAAUGUAGGCCAAGGUCACGAGUCUGAAUUUCAUUGGAGUCAGACAAAAUGGGAGAGGAGGGGAAUGACAAAAGUGAAAUUUCAAAAUCUAUUUUUGUUACAGUAAAAAUAAUUAAGUGAAAAUAUCCUGAACGAACCACUAAUAAUAAUUUUCUACCUUUAGAAGUUACAUAGAUUCAAAUGUACAAAUAUCAUACAUCCAAUAUUAUCCAUGUAUUCAACAAAUAUUUAUUGAAUAUCUACUACAUGCUAAGCCCUAUGCAGUAGACUGAGGACAUAAUGAUAGCAACUAUGAACAGAUAUCUGUCCUCAUAGAAUUUAUAGUCUGGUAGAAAAGGAAGACUCUAAUAAACUUAAAAUUGCAACUGUGGCAAAUGCUAGGUAUACAACACUAUGAAUGUAAGGAGAUUUGACCUAUUAUAGGAGGUCAUGGAAGGCCUCUGAGAUGGAAUCUUAAAGACAAGUAGGAAAUAAUUUAGGCAAAGAGGAGAAGUAAGAACCAC
RNAcentral lists this long non-coding RNA (1638 nucleotides) under Canis lupus familiaris (dog). RNAcentral describes it as "lncRNA (ENSCAFG00000058391.1)". Lineage: Eukaryota; Metazoa; Chordata; Mammalia; Carnivora; Canidae. The record is from RNAcentral.